Molecule: ribosomal RNA, 776 nt
Filed under: uncultured Neocallimastigales
Lineage: Eukaryota; Fungi; Neocallimastigomycota; Neocallimastigomycetes; Neocallimastigales
Description: partial large subunit ribosomal RNA
Rfam family: Eukaryotic large subunit ribosomal RNA
Source: RNAcentral
CGUCUAUAUACGUAUAGCAUAUCAAUAAGCGGAGGAAAAGAAACUAACAAGGAUUCCCUUAGUAACGGCGAGUGAAGCGGGAAGAGCUCAAAUUUGAAAUCUUCAAGGUUUUACCUUGACGAAUUGUAGUUUAAAGAAGUGUUUUCUGUUGAAGUUUCGGUAAAAGUUCUUUGGAAUAGGACAUCAUAGAGGGUGAGAAUCCCGUAUUUGACCGUUACUUUCCAGCUGUGUGAUACACUUUCAAAGAGUCGGAUUGUUUGGGAAUGCAGUCCAAAAUGGGUGGUAAAUUUCAUCUAAAGCUAAAUAUUGGCGAGAGACCGAUAGCGAACAAGUACCGUGAGGGAAAGAUGAAAAGAACUUUGAAAAGAGAGUUAAACAGUACGUGAAAUUGUCAAAAGGGAAGCGUUUGACACCAGUGUUGUUUAGUUGAAAAUCAAUUCAAUAAUUUUUGAUUUUAAGUAGUAUUGACUUCAUCAGCUUGCUGCUUUCUUUUCAGGAAUUAUUGAAUGCACUUUUCAGUUAACAAGUCAACAUCAAUUUCUUUUGUUGUAAAAGGGUAAGAGGAAGGUGGCUUACGUUUCGGCGUAAGUGUUUAUAGCCUUUUACCUCUGCAAUCGGAGAGAUUGAGGCCAGCAGCGUAGACUCCUUCUGGGGUUAGAUACACUUGUGCUAAGCUAUAGCCUUGUAUAGACAACUUGUUGACUAUGCUCAGUCAUGUAGCUUACUCGCUUGUGCUAUUUUACCUACGCUUAGGAUGUUGAUAUGCAUGACUGAUA